GCCGAGCUUAAGAAACAACUUGAUGAGUCCUUGCAAAAAGGUUUCAUCCGUCCUAGUUCUUCUCCUUGGGCUUGCCCCGUCCUCUUCGUCAAGAAGAAGGAUGGUACGGACCGGAUGGUUGUAGAUUAUCGUCCCGUUAAUUUGGUCACGAUAAAGAACAAAUAUCCGCUCCCCAGGAUCAACGAUCUGUAUGAUCAGCUCGCUGGAUCCUCAAUCUUUUCCAAGAUGGAUUUGAGGUUAGGAUACCACCAAAUUAAGAUCAGAAACGGGGACAUUCCCAAGACAGCUUUUGUCACUCGUUAUGGCCAGUAUGAGUACACCGUCAUGUCCUUUGGCCUAACCAACGCCCCAGCCACAUUCUCCCGCUUGAUGAACUCGAUCUUCAUGGAGUACUUAGAUAAGUUCGUCGUGGUUUACCUCGAUGAUAUUCUUAUUUACUCGAAGAACGAGGAAGAGCAUGCCGAACAUCUUAGACUUGUAUUAGAAAAACUCAGAGAGCACCGCCUUUAUGCCAAGUUCUCCAAGUGUGAAUUUUGGUUGCCAGAAGUGACCUACCUAGGCCACGUAAUCUCUGGUAAGGGCAUUGCUGUCAACCCCGAGAGAGUUAAAGCCGUUCUUGAUUGGACUCCACCUGAGACCGUUAAACAAGUUAGGAGUUUCCUUGGGCUAGCCAGCUAUUGUCGCCGCUUUGUUGAAAACUUCUCCAAAGUAGCCAAACCCCUCACGGAACUUCUCAAGAAAGAUAAAAAGUUCGAGUGGUCCCCACAGUGUGAGUACAGUUUUCAGGAACUGAAAAUACGCCUGACUUCUGCUCCCAUACUUGUGCCACCGGAUUUCACUAAAGACUUUAUUAUCUACUGCGACGCCUCACGACAGGGACUAGGUUGCAUUCUUAUGCAGGAUCGUCAUGUGAUUGCCUAUGCAUCUCGACAGUUGCAUUCACAUGAGGAGAAUUAUCCUACACAUGAUCUAGAGCUUGCAGCCGUAGUCUAUGCACUCAAGACCUGGAGACAUUACCUUCUUGGUAAACGUUGUGAGAUCUACACCGAUCACCAGAGUCUCAAGUAUAUCUUCACCCAACCAGAUCUGAACCUUAGGCAAAGACGUUGGUUGGAGUUAAUCACAGAUUAUGAUCUAGGGAUUACCUACACCCCAGGCAAAGCCAAUGUCAUGGCUGAUGCGCUAAGCCGUAAAACCUAUUGCAACAAUCUCAUGUUGCAGCAAGGACAACCACUUCUCCAUGAGGAAUUCUGUAAGCUUAAUCUUCACAUUGCUCCUCACGGAUUCCUUUCUACCUUGGUGGCGAAACCUGAUCUUGAAGAUCGGAUUGUCGCUGCUCAAAAGCAAGACACAGGAAUUUCUCGGAUCAAGAGAAACAUUAAGAAGGGAGUUGGUGGAUGUUUCUCUAUGGAUGAUCGUGGUGUUGUUUUCCUUGAGAAUCGCUUGGUGGUUCCCAAGAAUCAACAUCUGCGACAAUUGAUUCUUAAGGAGGCGCAUGAAUCUCCUCUCACGAUUCAUCCCGGUAGUACUAAGAUGUAUCAUGACCUACGCCAGAGGUUCUGG
RNAcentral lists this ribosomal RNA (1563 nucleotides) under Triticum aestivum (bread wheat). Its description in RNAcentral is "partial small subunit ribosomal RNA". Lineage: Eukaryota; Viridiplantae; Streptophyta; Magnoliopsida; Poales; Poaceae. The record is from RNAcentral.